AUUUGACGUUAGCGACAGAAGAAGCACCGGCUAACUCCGUGCCAGCAGCCGCGGUAAUGCGGAGGGUGCGAGCGUUAAUCGGAAUUACUGGGCGUAAAGCGCAUGCAGGUGGUUUGUUAAGUCAGAUGUGAAAGACCCGGGGCGUCAACCUCGGAAUAGCAUUUGUAAACUAGGCAGACUAGAGUACUGUAGAGGGGGGUAGGAAUUUCAGGUGUAGCGGUGAAAUGCGUAGAGAUCUGAAGGAAUACCGGUGGCGAAGGCGGCCCCCUCGGACAGAUACUGACACUCAGAUGCGAAAGCGUGGGGAGCAAACAGGAUUAGAUACCCUGGUAG
This 333-nucleotide ribosomal RNA is filed under the name uncultured bacterium. RNAcentral describes it as "bacterial SSU rRNA". It matches the Rfam family "Bacterial small subunit ribosomal RNA", at positions 467 to 793 of the family's 1533-position model. The record is from RNAcentral.